CAGCAGCAGCAACCAGGAAUUCUACCAGAAAUACCUGGACAAGUUGGCCAGAUUCUACCACCAACAACUAAUCAGCUUUCGGCAAACUGCAGUAGCUUCUUAACAGGAGCUGUAGGUGGAGGCCAGUCGGUGGUUACGGAUGAUAUUCCAUCAUGUUCCACCUCACCAUCUACCAACAACUGUCAAAAUGUAGUUCAGCCAAUUAUGAAUGGUAGGAUCCAUCGAGGCACAGCUGCAGCGGAGGAAACAACCCAG
RNAcentral lists this unclassified non-coding RNA (255 nucleotides) under Hevea brasiliensis (rubber tree). The record is from RNAcentral. Lineage: Eukaryota; Viridiplantae; Streptophyta; Magnoliopsida; Malpighiales; Euphorbiaceae.